CACGGAGUUAGCCGAUGCUUUUUCUUCGGAUACACGCAGUCCGGGACACGUCCCGGGUUUUGUUCUCCGACAAAAGAGGUUUACAACCCAUAGGGCCGUCUUCCCUCACGCGGCUUGGCUGGUUCAGGAUCUCUCCCAUUGACCAAUAUUCCUCACUGCUGCCUCCCGUAGGAGUCUGGUCCGCGUCUCAGUACCAGUGUGGGGGACCUUCCUCUCAGAACCCCUACGCAUCGUCGCCACGGUGGGCCGUUACCCCGCCGUCAAGCUAAUGCGCCGCAUGCCCAUCCUCUUCCGAUGAAUCUUUCCUCGAUCUCGGAUGCCCGAAACCGAUAUACGCGGGAUUAGCCUCCCUUUCGGAAGGUUGUCCCCCUGAAGAGGGCAGGUUGCAUACGUGUUACUCACCCGUGCGCCGGUCGCCGGCAAGGAAAGCAAGCUUCCCUCCCGAUGCCCCUCGACUUGCAUGUGUUAAGCCUGCCGCUAGCGUUCAUCCUGAGCCAGGAUCAAACUCU
RNAcentral lists this ribosomal RNA (509 nucleotides) under uncultured Bacteroidales bacterium. Its description in RNAcentral is "partial 16S ribosomal RNA". The record is from RNAcentral. Lineage: Bacteria; Pseudomonadati; Bacteroidota; Bacteroidia; Bacteroidales.